GCUCCCUUGGCCUAAUGGAUAAGGCAUCAGACUUCUAAUCUGAGGAUUGCGGGUUCGAGUCCCGCAGGGAGUG
Molecule: transfer RNA, 73 nt
Filed under: Neoconidiobolus thromboides FSU 785
Lineage: Eukaryota; Fungi; Entomophthoromycota; Entomophthoromycetes; Entomophthorales; Neoconidiobolaceae
Description: tRNA-Arg
Rfam family: tRNA
About the family: Transfer RNA (tRNA) molecules are approximately 80 nucleotides in length.
Source: RNAcentral